CCAGACUCCUACGGGAGGCAGCAGUGGGGAAUAUUGGGCAAUGGGCGCAAGCCUGACCCAGCAACGCCGCGUGAAGGAAGAAGGCCCUCGGGUUGUAAACUUCUUUUCUAUAGGACGAAGAAGUGACGGUACUAUAGGAAUAAGCCACGGCUAACUCCGUGCCAGCAGCCGCGGUAAUACGGAGGAUGCGAGCGUUAUCCGGAUUUAUUGGGUUUAAAGGGUGCGUAGGCGGUCCGUUAAGUCAGCGGUAAAAUGGCGGGGCUCACCCCCGUCGAGCCGUUGAAACUGGCAGACUUGAGUUGGCGAGAAGUACGCGGAAUGCGCGGUGUAGCGGUGAAAUGCAUAGAUAUCACGCAGAACCCCGAUUGCGAAGGCAGCAUGCCGGCUUCCGACUGACGCUGAAGCACGAAAGCGUGGGGAUCGAACAGGAUUAGAUACCCUUGUA
This 445-nucleotide ribosomal RNA is filed under the name uncultured bacterium. RNAcentral describes it as "bacterial SSU rRNA". It matches the Rfam family "Bacterial small subunit ribosomal RNA", at positions 331 to 792 of the family's 1533-position model. The record is from RNAcentral.